UGCUCUGUAGAUGAUGUUGGCUUUUAAACU
RNAcentral lists this non-coding RNA (30 nucleotides) under Rattus norvegicus (Norway rat). Lineage: Eukaryota; Metazoa; Chordata; Mammalia; Rodentia; Muridae. The record is from RNAcentral.